UGUGGGAGGGGGCUUGCUCCCGAUAGCGGUGUGUCAGCUUGCACAUCUGUUUCUGGCUGACCGCUAUCGGGAGCAAGCCCCCUCCCACA
RNAcentral lists this unclassified non-coding RNA (89 nucleotides) under Pseudomonas synxantha. The record is from RNAcentral. Lineage: Bacteria; Pseudomonadati; Pseudomonadota; Gammaproteobacteria; Pseudomonadales; Pseudomonadaceae.